Molecule: small nuclear RNA, 203 nt
Filed under: Suricata suricatta (meerkat)
Lineage: Eukaryota; Metazoa; Chordata; Mammalia; Carnivora; Herpestidae
Description: U2 spliceosomal RNA (ENSSSUG00005016707.1)
Rfam family: U2 spliceosomal RNA
About the family: U2 is a small nuclear RNA (snRNA) component of the spliceosome (involved in pre-mRNA splicing).
Source: Rfam by way of RNAcentral
AUCGCUUCUCGGCCUUUUGGCUAAGAUCAAGUGUGGUGUAUUUUCUUCCAGUCUAUUUUCUAGGCAUACAUACAGAGAAAUAGGUCAUACAAUUUCACGAUAUUAGAAACAUUUUUCCAUGUCAUUACUUUUAUGAUAUCAUUUAAAAAAUUUAUAUUCUAGUUAACAGACAGUGCAAUAUUGGUUUCAGGAGUAGAAACCAA